RNAcentral lists this ribosomal RNA (424 nucleotides) under uncultured archaeon. RNAcentral's name for it is "bacterial SSU rRNA". It matches the Rfam family "Archaeal small subunit ribosomal RNA", at positions 1 to 421 of the family's 1478-position model. The record is from RNAcentral.
GACAUAUUCCGGUUGAUCCUGCCGGAGGCCAUUGCUAUCGGAGUCCGAUUUAGCCAUGCUAGUUGCACGAGUUCAGACUCGUAGCAUAUAGCUCAGUAACACGUGGCCAAACUACCCUACAGACCGCGAUAACCUCGGGAAACUGAGGCCAAUAGCGGAUAUAACUCUUAUGCUGGAGUGCCGAGAGUUAGAAACGUUCCGGCGCUGUAGGAUGUAGCUGCGGCCGAUUAGGUAGAUGGUGGGGUAACGGCCCACCAUGCCGAUAAUCGGUACAGGUUGUGAGAGCAAGAGCCUGGAGACGGUAUCUGAGACAAGAUACCGGGCCCUACGGGGCGCAGCAGGCGCGAAACCUUUACACAGCACGACAGUGCGAUAGGGGGACUCCGAGUGUGAGGGCAUAUAGCCCUCGCUUUUCUGUACCGUA